RNAcentral lists this ribosomal RNA (503 nucleotides) under uncultured bacterium. RNAcentral's name for it is "partial 16S ribosomal RNA". It matches the Rfam family "Bacterial small subunit ribosomal RNA", at positions 30 to 523 of the family's 1533-position model. The record is from RNAcentral.
AUUGAACGCUGGCGGCAGGCUUAACACAUGCAAGUCGAGCGGGGUGAUGGUGCUUGCACUAUCACUUAGCGGCGGACGGGUGAGUAAUGCUUAGGAAUCUGCCUAUUAGUGGGGGACAACAUCUCGAAAGGGAUGCUAAUACCGCAUACGUCCUACGGGAGAAAGCAGGGGAUCACUUGUGACCUUGCGCUAAUAGAUGAGCCUAAGUCGGAUUAGCUAGUUGGUGGGGUAAAGGCCUACCAAGGCGACGAUCUGUAGCGGGUCUGAGAGGAUGAUCCGCCACACUGGGACUGAGACACGGCCCAGACUCCUACGGGAGGCAGCAGUGGGGAAUAUUGGACAAUGGGGGGAACCCUGAUCCAGCCAUGCCGUGUGUGUGAAGAAGGCCUUAUGGUUGUAAAGCACUUUAAGCGAGGAGGAGGCUCUUUUGGUUAAUACCCAAGACGAGUGGACGUUACUCGCAGAAUAAGCACCGGCUAACUCUGUGCCAGCAGCCGCGGUAA